GCUGAGGAGCGAAAGCUUGGGGACCGAACAGGAUUAGAUACCCUGGUAGUCCACGCCGUAAACGGUGGGUGCUAGUUGUGGGCCACAUUCCACGUGGUCCGUGACGAAGUUAACACAUUAUGCACCCCGCCUGGGGAGUACGGUCGCAAGACUAAAACUCAAAGGAAUUGACGGGGGCCCGCACAAGCGGCGGAGCAUGCGGAUUAAUUCGAUGCAACGCGAAGAACCUUACCAAGGCUUGACAUAUAGAGGAAACGUGCAGAAAUGUACGCCCCGCAAGGUCUCUAUACAGGUGGUGCAUGGUUGUCGUCAGCUCGUGUCGUGAGAUGUUGGGUUAAGUCCCGCAACGAGCGCAACCCUCGUCCUAUGUUGCCAGCACGUAAUGGUGGGAACUCAUGGGAGACUGCCGGGGUCAACUCGGAGGAAGGUGGGGAUGACGUCAAAUCAUCAUGCCCCUUAUGUCUUGGGCUUCACGCAUGCUACAAUGGCCAGUACAAAGGGCUGCAAUACCGUAAGGUGGAGCGAAUCCCAAAAAGCUGGUCUCAGUUCGGAUUGAGGUCUGCAACUCGACCUCAUGAAGUCGGAGUCGCUAGUAAUCGCAGACCAGCAACGCUGCGGUGAAUACGUUCCCGGGCCUUGUACACACCGCCCGUCAAGUCACGAAAGUCGGUAACACCCGAAGCCG
RNAcentral lists this ribosomal RNA (685 nucleotides) under uncultured Actinomycetes bacterium. Its description in RNAcentral is "bacterial SSU rRNA". It matches the Rfam family "Bacterial small subunit ribosomal RNA", at positions 745 to 1429 of the family's 1533-position model. Lineage: Bacteria; Bacillati; Actinomycetota; Actinomycetes. The record is from RNAcentral.